Molecule: ribosomal RNA, 415 nt
Filed under: uncultured bacterium
Lineage: Bacteria
Description: partial 16S ribosomal RNA
Rfam family: Bacterial small subunit ribosomal RNA
Source: RNAcentral
UGGGGAAUAUUGGACAAUGGGGGCAACCCUGAUCCAGCAAUGCCGCGUGUGUGAAGAAGGUCUUCGGAUUGUAAAGCACUUUCGACGGGGACGAUGAUGACGGUACCCGUAGAAGAAGCCCCGGCUAACUUCGUGCCAGCAGCCGCGGUAAUACGAAGGGGGCUAGCGUUGCUCGGAAUGACUGGGCGUAAAGGGCGUGUAGGCGGUUUACACAGUCAGAUGUGAAAUCCCCGGGCUUAACCUGGGAGCUGCAUUUGAUACGUGUAGACUAGAGUGUGAGAGAGGGUUGUGGAAUUCCCAGUGUAGAGGUGAAAUUCGUAGAUAUUGGGAAGAACACCGGUGGCGAAGGCGGCAACCUGGCUCAUGACUGACGCUGAGGCGCGAAAGCGUGGGGAGCAAACAGGAUUAGAUACCC